GAAGCUGACCAGACAGUCGCCGCUUCGUCGUCGUCCUUUCGGGGAGACGGGCGGAGGGGAGGAAAGUCCGGGCUCCAUAGGGCAGGGUGCCAGGUAACGCCUGGGGGGGGAAACCCACGACCAGUGCAACAGAGAGCAGACCGCCGAUGGCCCACGUAAGUGGGAUCAGGUAAGGGUGAAAGGGUGCGGUAAGAGCGCACCGCGCGGCUGGUAACAGUCCGUGGCACGGUAAACUCCACCCGGAGCAAGGCCAAAUAGGGGUUCAUAAGGUACGGCCCGUACUGAACCCGGGUAGGCUGCUUGAGCCAGUGAGCGAUUGCUGGCCUAGAUGAAUGACUGUCCACGACAGAACCCGGCUUAUCGGUCAGUUUCACUU
This 376-nucleotide RNase P RNA is filed under the name Salmonella enterica. Its description in RNAcentral is "RNase P RNA component class A". It matches the Rfam family "Bacterial RNase P class A". Rfam says of the family: Ribonuclease P (RNase P) is a ubiquitous endoribonuclease, found in archaea, bacteria and eukarya as well as chloroplasts and mitochondria. Its best characterised activity is the generation of mature 5'-ends of tRNAs by cleaving the 5'-leader elements of precursor-tRNAs. Cellular RNase Ps are ribonucleoproteins. The record is from RNAcentral. RNAcentral also lists the same sequence under 1 other name. Lineage: Bacteria; Pseudomonadati; Pseudomonadota; Gammaproteobacteria; Enterobacterales; Enterobacteriaceae.